This 413-nucleotide ribosomal RNA is filed under the name uncultured microorganism. RNAcentral describes it as "bacterial SSU rRNA". It matches the Rfam family "Archaeal small subunit ribosomal RNA", at positions 330 to 745 of the family's 1478-position model. The record is from RNAcentral.
GCGCAGCAGUCGAGAAUCCUCCGCAAUGCGCGAAAGCGCGACGGGGCCACCCCGAGUGCCGCCCGCUGAGGGCGGCUUUUCCCCGGUGUAGACAGCCGGGGGAAUAAGGGGAGGGCAAGUCUGGUGUCAGCCGCCGCGGUAAUACCAGCUCCCCGAGUGGUGGGGACGAUUAUUGGGCCUAAAGCGUCCGUAGCCGGCCCGGCAAGUCUCCCGUUAAAUCCAGCGAUCUAAUCGCUGGACUGCGGGAGAUACUGUCGGGCUAGGGGGCGGGAGAGGCCGGCGGUAUUCCCGGGGUAGGGGUGAAAUCCUAUAAUCCCGGGAGGACCACCAGUGGCGAAGGCUGCCGGCUGGAACGCGCCCGACGGUGAGGGACGAAAGCCGGGGGAGCGAACCGGAUUAGAUACCCCUGUAGU